AGGUAAUACAACCUGUGCCAACCUUUGCCGGCACGGAAUUAUUACGUAUUCGCAUCUUUAAUAUUGUGUAAAAUGCUUUUUCGUCAUAGAGUAGUCUUCGAUUACUUGGAAUGAUGAUAAUGAUUUUAUUGAUCCAUCUUUAGUUUAAAAAUACAGUGGAUUUACAACAAUGUCUAUUAAAAGAGAAGAGCAUAACUAUAGGCAUGCAAUAAUAUUUACAAACUAU
Non-coding RNA from Paramuricea clavata, 226 nucleotides. The record is from the annotation of a GenBank genome assembly. NCBI's taxonomy places the organism in Eukaryota, Metazoa, Cnidaria, Anthozoa, Malacalcyonacea, Plexauridae.